UUUGUUUUAGAUUACCUAGAAUUAAUACCAUUGGGCUUUUUAACAUAGCACAAAAUCGUCUUCCGUGGGAGUUACCAGCACCAGCUGUCGACGUCUUUACUUUCUGUUUUGUUUGAUGUUCUAUGAACAGAGGAUUAGAGGGAGAGACGAAAUAUAGUUUAGGAUAGAAAGGGAAAUGGUUUAUGAUGCAAACUCAGAGUAAUAUGGUUAAAACAUUUGAUCCUCUUACAGGAUUUGCAAAUCGGGAAAGAUUUUAUUCUCCAUUCCAGCCCAAUUUUGACUACUAGAUUGUUGAUAAACUCAAAGAGGCCAAGGGUCAUCUUUGCUACUUGCCACUCACAAAUAUUCGAGCUCUUCUGGAGACAUGGUUGAAGAUAGAGUGUGGCAACGAAGGUCAUGCCAUCUGUAGAGGAGCCCCUUUAACUGGCUGCAGUGUUUAGAGACUUCACACCAAGCCUUUGCUCCAUGAAGUGUGUCCCCAAGAUUGACCCGGAGCCUAUUCUACAGGAGAUAACCCCCACUGGGGUGAUGAAUGUGUACGUUCAGACGAGGGAUCCAGAAGCGGAGGAAUGACGCUUUCCAGAAGGACGUGUCAGGGUUAAUUACGAAGGAAGUAACUAAAGUACAGAGGACCAGGACACGACGUCUGUCUUUGAGAGGCUGGCAUGGAGGAGGCAGAGCGGUGAAGCGGAGAGAAUGUGACCUUGGAGUCAGACGGACCUAUUUUGAUUUCUUACCGCACCCAAUCAAGAUCAUUAACUUCUGUGAACGUUCAUCACAGUCUUAAAGGAAGAUAAUAGCUCACUCUGUGUGGUUCCUGUGAAGACUGGACGGGACCUUACACACUGCUUGCCCCAUUCCACAUUCAUGACGAAAUAAAUGGUUAGAAUCAUUAUGUGUAUUGUUUGAA
This 910-nucleotide long non-coding RNA is filed under the name Felis catus (domestic cat). Its description in RNAcentral is "lncRNA (ENSFCAG00000051421.1)". Lineage: Eukaryota; Metazoa; Chordata; Mammalia; Carnivora; Felidae. The record is from RNAcentral.